GUGAUCCUGCGCCGAAGAUUUCCGGGGCUAAAACUUACUACCGAAGCUACGGCAUCAGUAAUGAUGGGUAGGGGAGCUUCCCAUACGGGUUGAAGCAUGACCGUAAGGACAUGUGGGCAGUAUGGGAGUGAGAAUGUUGGCAUGAGUAGCGAGAUGUGGGUGAGAAUCCCACAGGCCGUAAACCCAAGGUUUCCAGGGGAAGGUUCGUCCGCCCUGGG
This 218-nucleotide ribosomal RNA is filed under the name Clostridioides difficile. RNAcentral's name for it is "partial 23S ribosomal RNA". It matches the Rfam family "Bacterial large subunit ribosomal RNA", at positions 1153 to 1379 of the family's 2925-position model. The record is from RNAcentral. Lineage: Bacteria; Bacillati; Bacillota; Clostridia; Peptostreptococcales; Peptostreptococcaceae.